Molecule: ribosomal RNA, 425 nt
Filed under: uncultured bacterium
Lineage: Bacteria
Description: partial 16S ribosomal RNA
Rfam family: Bacterial small subunit ribosomal RNA
Source: RNAcentral
GUGGGGAAUCUUGCGCAAUGGGCGAAAGCCUGACGCAGCCAUGCCGCGUGAAUGAUGAAGGUCUUAGGAUUGUAAAAUUCUUUCACCGGGGAAGAUAAUGACGGUACCCGGAGAAGAAGCCCCGGCUAACUUCGUGCCAGCAGCCGCGGUAAUACGAAGGGGGCUAGCGUUGCUCGGAAUUACUGGGCGUAAAGGGCGCGUAGGCGGACAUUUAAGUCAGAGGUGAAAGCCCAGGGCUCAACCUUGGAAUUGCCUUUGAUACUGGAUGUCUUGAGUUCGGGAGAGGUGAGUGGAAUGCCGAGUGUAGAGGUGAAAUUCGUAGAUAUUCGGAAGAACACCAGUGGCGAAGGCGACAUACUGGUCCAUUACUGACGCUGAGGCUCGAAAGCGUGGGGAGCAAACAGGAUUAGAAACCCCGGUAGUCC